RNAcentral lists this long non-coding RNA (1508 nucleotides) under Nicotiana tabacum (common tobacco). Its description in RNAcentral is "long non-coding RNA (NTAB_LNC006987)". Lineage: Eukaryota; Viridiplantae; Streptophyta; Magnoliopsida; Solanales; Solanaceae. The record is from RNAcentral.
CUAAUAUAAUUUUGAUAAUAUGGAAAUAAUAAAUGUAUACGCAUACACUUUACUUAAUAAAUAAAUUAAAAAAAAAAAAUUCUUUCUACUACACCUUCUGUCAUUUUCUUUGGGUACACCUUUGAACGAAUGACACUUGUUCAAGUCGAAUGUUAAAUGUCUAGAUUAAUAAAGCCAACCCAUAGUUAAAGAAAUAAAAUUUGCGAAGAGACUCCUCCAACUUUUUUAAGAAAUUUCUCAUCUCCUUUAAAUUUUCGAUCACAUUAAUAUCAUUGCUUUCAUUUUAAUUUUACAUCCAAAUAAAAAAUUAUCUUAAUAAAUUGAGAUUAUGUACCCAAUUCUGGGGGUUAGUUCUCUUUUCUGAUUACAUGGCUAAAUAUGUACCCAAAUCUUGUGUCUUUUCUGAUUGGCUAAUUUUCUUUUCUUUUUCUCGUUUGAUUUUGCUGUUCAUGUCUAAUAAAAUUUUACGUGAAUAUGUUAUUUCAAAUAGUCCAUAUAUAGUCUAGUUUUAACCUAUUUAUCGAAAGUUAAGAACAGGUUUAGGAUCACGGAGAUUAAUUAAAUUUAAGGGUAAGCUGUCCAAUUUACUCGGUGAAAAAUGGACAAGAAUUCCCAAUGCACUGUAUUUGAAUGGUAACCUGUCCAUUUCUUUCUUUUAAAAAAAUCUAUUUUAUAUUGGAAAAAAUGAAAAUUACAAAGUGGACAAUCAAAAUCGAGUUAAAGUUUAGAUAGCCGACCAACUAAAUUCAAUUAACCCCAUAAAAAGGAUACAAAUUCCAAUAUGACUAUUUCUACUGAAUUCAUUCUGUAAAUCUAGUCGAGGAAAAAGAAAGAGGCAAAAAACAAAUGGAAAAGAUAAAGUUGGUUAAGAUGGCGAGCAGUGAAUAACAUUGCUAUCCCAUGAUGAAACUUUGACUUGACUCAUAAGGAUGGUUAAUUUAAUUUACUAAUUAUUCACCCUUAAUAGUCGACACAGACUAACUUUGUAAUGGAAUUCUCCAGCUUCUAGAUGUGAUGUUCAACGCUUUCGUCAGAUUUAAUCCAUUCUUACGUCAUGCAAACUAACUAGUUUAUUUUUAUAUAUAUGCUUUGCACAUUUCAAAGGCUAAUAUAAAAAAAUAAAAAAAAAUAGAUUGUGGAUUAAUUGCUGAAUUGUUCCAAAAUCUCAAACUAUACUAAUAUCAUGUUAAAUUGUGUUAUUGCCUUAUCUAAAAGCAAAAUUGUGCAACGUGUAUAUAUAUAUAUAUAUAUAUAUAUAUAUAUAUAUAUAUAUAUAUAUAUAUAUAUAUAUAUAUACACACUUUAGCUCUGCAACAUUGAUUGUUAAAUAUUUCCUAGCUAAAAAUGUUGCAACUAUCCUAAUGAAUCAACAUAAAUGCUUAUUUAUAUAAGUACUCAUUCCAUCCCAUGAUAUUUGAUUAAGCAUAGAGUUUAAAAAAGAAAGAUUUUAUUUUUAAAUUUGUGGUAUAAAUCAAGUUAUAAAUAUUUAUGUGAUUAAAAAAUUAUCU